Phyllostomus discolor (pale spear-nosed bat) is the source of this 3127-nucleotide long non-coding RNA. RefSeq lists it as uncharacterized. The transcript is spliced from 3 exons. The record is from RefSeq and is a predicted model, not a curated record. NCBI's taxonomy places the organism in Eukaryota, Metazoa, Chordata, Mammalia, Chiroptera, Phyllostomidae.
UAAACCAGUUCUCAGGGUUCAGCCAUUGCAGAUUAUUGUGAAGGAUCUGGAACACCUUCUGUUCAGUAAGGCAUUUGAUGCCAUUGAGCUGCUGGUGGAACCCGAGCUGGAGCUGAUCAAUCUGUCCUCUCAGACUGGCAGAGAAUGCACCCUACAGGUGAUGACAAAUAUCUGCCCAGGAAUGCUGACUGGAAUUCCACCUUAAUGGAGUAACACAGAGUUUAGAGAAACCAGGAUCACAGAAGAUGAACCAAAAUACAGAGAUGGAGGCUGUUCAUAUCAUGUAGAGGAACUCUUGGCUAUGGGAGCAUUAAAGGAAACAUGACACCAUGGCAAAUGAAAGCCUCAGUCUGUCAUCCUGCUCUGAAGACUGUGGAUUUACCAAGCCUCCAUAAUCAUGUGAGCCAGUUCCUCAUAGUAAAUGUCCACUCUCCAAGUAGAUGUAGGUAUGGAUAAUAGAUACACAUGCAUCCUGUCAAUUGUAUUUCUCUGGACAACCCUGCCUAAUACAGGUAGGGAUAAUAUCAUAGGUUCUAUAAUCAGAAAUACGGCCUAAGGACCUGGAUCUGCCCUUUACUGUGUAUGUUGGAAAAGUUACUUUCUCUCUCUAAACCUUGGUUUCCUUAUCUUUAAAAUGGCUGUAACAAUUCUGCAGUCAUGCCAGGUUGCAUGCCAUCUAAUCUAGUAUUUCUAUUUCUUUGUUUCUGUUAUUCCCUUGCUGGUCAUAAAUUUGUUCCUUUCUACCUAAACUUUACUUUUCCUUUCAGACCUGUGGUGGCUUUAAAAAUAUGUCCACAAGUUUGUUGAUAAUCACCCUUUCAAGUUAAAUUGCCCUCCCUUCAAUAUAAGCUAGACUUAGUGAAUUGCUUGUAAUGAAUAGAAUAUGGCAAAUGUGAGAGUACAGUAUUUCUCAUUCUCUCUCUCUUUCAUCACUCGUUAUGAGGGAGCCAGCUGCCUGGUCACAAGCAGCUCUAUGGAGAGUCCCAGCAGCAAGGAACUGAAGCCUCCUGUCUGCGACCACAGACUGAACCUGGAAGCAGAUUCUUCAACCCUCAUGACUUCAGCUCCAGCCAACAACUUCAUUGUAACCUCAGGAGAGAGCUGAAUAAGAACAACCUCGCUGAGGUACAGUUCUUGAGCCUCAGAAAUUGCGAGAUACUAAAUAUUUAUUCUUUCAGUUUAAGUUUUGAGGCAAUUUGUUGCACAGCAAAUAAUUAGUGCCACAUUCAUUUCAAGUCUAUAAAACACUUCCCUCACCAAGACACAGAAUGUCUCCUUUCUUGGUUUCCCCAUAGCAUUCUGCAUAUAACUAUGAUAAAACUUUUCACAUUGUAUUAACAAUGUUUUUAUAAUGUGCUUGUCUUCCUUGCAAGGCUGCGAGUUGCUUGAAGGUGGUUCAUCAUUCUGUAUUAAGUGAAAACACAAAAACAAAAAAAACCCCUCAAAACCUUAAGCUUGGCACAUAAAGAACUCUUACAAUAGUUUAGGUAACAAUUAGUGUUUCCUAUGUGUUAUAUAUUGUCCUAAGCUUUUUUGGUAAAUAUCCUAUUUAAUUCUCAUGAAAACCCAGCAGAUACAUUAUUACCAUUUUACAGAUGAUGAAACUGAGGUCGAGUUAUAGAGAAGCUGUUUAAUUGGAUGAUGAUCUCACAGCUAGUGAACGUUGCUGAAUUAAAGAAAGAGUAAAAGAAUGUUUCCUAUAAAUGGGACCAUACACGACUCACCUUAGAAUCUCUUACUCUGCAUAGCCCAGUAUGCAAUCAGGACUUAAUAUUCAUUAAAUAACUGAUAAAAGCAGCUGAGUUAUGUGAGAAAGAAGUCUUGGAAAUCUUGGUUGUAGAUAAUUUAAAUUGAUUCCCAAAACAUAAUUCUUUUCCUUUACUGAGGAAAAAAAAGGUUAUAGUAAACAUAUGUUGUGAAGAGACUAAAAAUACACUUUGGAAGAUGUUUACAUUUCUCUCCACACCUUCUCCAUAAAUGCUUCACAAGAAUCAGUGUUGGUAGUUUGACUACAUAAGAUGUAUAAAAAAAGAUUUUUUUUUUGUUCUGAACUUAACUAAAUGUGGUGGCUCAAGAUGUAAAACAGUUUGCGAAAAUGAGCAAAUGGUAUUCUUUUUAAUGGUGUACUUUUCUUCCAACAAUGCCCAAGAAAUAUUUCUACUGAAGCCUUUAGGUUUACACAUUUCAAACAAGUGGUGGCUGUUUGACUUCUGGGCCUCCCUUAAAUAAAACUCGUGGCCCAUGAUCCUUCCUGGUGAGGUCUUUCUAAACAAGCACCUAAAUAUGAGAAGCCUAGAGCCAGAUUAUAGUCAGAGUUGGCCAGAGUCUGGAAAGCAGUUUGAGACUUCCUAUUUCAUAAUUUUUGACUUGUUUUCUCUGACAAGUUCCUCCCCACUUAAUAGUAGGUAGGAGAUCUUUAUAUCAUUUGGUGAAUGGGGACUCCUUUUCUCUUGAUAUCUAUUUGUGAGAUUUAUUCUUCUUACAUCCUGUCUCUGCAGAGAUUAAUGAACACAAAUAUUUUGAAAGCUUAAGAAGGAUCAUUAAGUGUUGGCAGAUGCUAAAGAUAAGUGGUUAUAAAGAUAAUAAACCACUUCUGUUGUUCCUGUAGGCCUUAUUAUUCUCCUACAAGACAGUACCUUCAUAAAUUGUCUACUAGAAACAUUACCCUAAAAAUUUCAUUUAGAGACAAUGAGACUAGAAGUUUCUGUUAUUAAAGAUUAAAUAGCCUGGUCUUCUAUACUCGCAAAAAUGUAAGCAGUGUACUACUAAUAAUUUUUUUUGAAAGAUUAAGGCUAGCAAAACACUUUGUGCUCAUCAAAUUUGAUUCCCUUCAGUUGUCCUAGACUCCUGAAGGGGUGUCAUUUUCCAUAGUUUUGCGUUUUGGAACAGAGCCUUUAUUGUGACAGCAUACUGUUUCUCCCGUGCUUCCUUAUUCUACCACUCUGCAGUUGAAGCAAGGCAUGUUUACACUUCAAGAUUCAAUAUUUCAGUCAUGAAAUAAAACACAUCUAAGAAAAUUUUAAUAACUCAUUUUCAAGCAAAAAUGAACUCUCUGGCAACAUAAAUAUAAACAGCUUGAUAAAAAUUUGUGUGUUCUUUUGGAAUAUUUGUUCUAAGAUGAAAUAAC